Molecule: small RNA, 145 nt
Filed under: Pararhizobium polonicum
Lineage: Bacteria; Pseudomonadati; Pseudomonadota; Alphaproteobacteria; Hyphomicrobiales; Rhizobiaceae
Description: Alphaproteobacterial sRNA ar45
Rfam family: Alphaproteobacterial sRNA ar45
Source: Rfam by way of RNAcentral
GCCCAAAGUCGCACGUGCCCAUGGGUGUCCGCCGAUCCCUCGUUUGGUGAGGAAUUGGUAAGGUACCUGGAACUAACCCCUCCAGUCGCUAUCCCGGCCAACCGGAAAUGCGAGGACAUCUGAAGCAACGACGGUGCGGGCCUUU